This 159-nucleotide ribosomal RNA is filed under the name Aspergillus niger. Its description in RNAcentral is "5.8S ribosomal RNA". It matches the Rfam family "5.8S ribosomal RNA". From Rfam's summary of the family: 5.8S ribosomal RNA (5.8S rRNA) is a component of the large subunit of the eukaryotic ribosome. The record is from RNAcentral. Lineage: Eukaryota; Fungi; Ascomycota; Eurotiomycetes; Eurotiales; Aspergillaceae.
AACUUUCAACAAUGGAUCUCUUGGUUCCGGCAUCGAUGAAGAACGCAGCGAAAUGCGAUAACUAAUGUGAAUUGCAGAAUUCAGUGAAUCAUCGAGUCUUUGAACGCACAUUGCGCCCCCUGGUAUUCCGGGGGGCAUGCCUGUCCGAGCGUCAUUGCU